This 499-nucleotide ribosomal RNA is filed under the name uncultured bacterium. RNAcentral's name for it is "partial 16S ribosomal RNA". It matches the Rfam family "Bacterial small subunit ribosomal RNA", at positions 28 to 507 of the family's 1533-position model. The record is from RNAcentral.
GAUGAACGCUGGCGGCGUGCCUAAUACAUGCAAGUCGAGCGAACAGACGAGAGUGCUUGCACUCUCUGACGUUAGCGGCGGACGGGUGAGUAACACGUGGGUAACCUACCUAUAAGACUGGGAUAACUUCGGGAAACCGGAGCUAAUACCGGAUAAUAUUUAGCUUCGCAUGAAGCAAUAGUGAAAGACGGUUCUGCUGUCACUUAUAGAUGGACCCGCGGUGUAUUAGCUAGUUGGUGAGGUAACGGCUCACCAAGGCAACGAUACAUAGCCGACCUGAGAGGGUGAUCGGCCACACUGGGACUGAGACACGGCCCAGACUCCUACGGGUGGCAGCAGUAGGGAAUCUUCCGCAAUGGACGAAAGUCUGACGGAGCAAUGCCGCGUGAGUGAAGAAGGUUUUCGGAUCGUAAAACUCUGUUGUAAGGGAAGAACAAGUACGUUAGUAACUGAACGUACCUUGACGGUACCUUACCAGAAAGCCACGGCUAACUACGUG